Molecule: long non-coding RNA, 713 nt
Organism: Lycium barbarum (goji berry)
Lineage: Eukaryota; Viridiplantae; Streptophyta; Magnoliopsida; Solanales; Solanaceae
Exons: 4
Source: RefSeq, a predicted model, not a curated record
AAACCCUAACCUCCAAGAGCUGUCUUCACUCUCCUCGCAUCAUCUUGGCAAGAAUGGCUAGUUUUCAGGUGUACUAUCGCCUUUCACAGGCUCAGCUUAGCUAUUUGAGGAAAAUGCAUUAAUUGAUACUCCUCUUUCCUCCAUUACAACGACCAAAAAAGCUCGAGUUUCGAGGAGGAGCAAGGGCCUCAACUCCAAAUCUCGACCAAGGCCGCACAUAAGAAAAUUUGCAAGAUCGGGAAGUGAACGUGGGACAUUUAAGUAGGUGACAAGAUCUCAAGAUACAGGUUGAUGGCCCAUCUAUUAGGAUGCCAGCUCAGCGGUUAAGGUUGUUGCACUCUACUUGUUUCGGAGGUGGUAAGAGUUAGCAUGGUCAUAUACAUAUGUAUAUACUUUUGAAUGGGUAUAGCGGGGCCCUGUCCCGACCACGUUAUGUAUGUUUUCCAAUAGAGGCUUGUAGACAGUUAUGUACAGUCAGAUAAUGUCCAAACUAGAUGUUUCAUAUGUUGUCACACAGGUGAUCAUGACAGCCCUGUUGGCUCAUACAGUAUGUCUAGCAUAUCCAUAUAGAUUAGUCUUUCAGACUUUUUGAUACAUACAUGUUUACCUUAUGAAUCUAUCGAGUAUCAUAUGAUGGCACUAUUGGCCCACCUAUAUUCAUAAUGAUGUCACAGAUGUAAGUCAGAUGGUACUUGACUAGUAUGGUUAGGUGC